GCGGAUGUAGUUCAGUGGUAGAACGUCUCCUUGCCAAGGAGAAGGUCACCGGUUCGAAUCCGGCCAUCCGCUCAA
This 75-nucleotide transfer RNA is filed under the name Candidatus Levybacteria bacterium RIFCSPHIGHO2_02_FULL_37_13. RNAcentral's name for it is "tRNA-Gly". It matches the Rfam family "tRNA". From Rfam's summary of the family: Transfer RNA (tRNA) molecules are approximately 80 nucleotides in length. Their secondary structure includes four short double-helical elements and three loops (D, anti-codon, and T loops). Lineage: Bacteria; Candidatus Levyibacteriota. The record is from RNAcentral. RNAcentral also lists the same sequence under 2 other names.